Molecule: long non-coding RNA, 536 nt
Filed under: Helianthus annuus (common sunflower)
Lineage: Eukaryota; Viridiplantae; Streptophyta; Magnoliopsida; Asterales; Asteraceae
Source: RNAcentral
AUGAAAAAAAUGAAGAUACAAGCUCGCACUCUUUCAGGACAAUAUUAGUUGUUUAGACCAAAAUUUGCCGAUCCGAUCCUACUGGAAGCUCACUGGAGCGUCUUGAUGGCUGCAAGGCGAUAUGCAGCAGAACAAGUGCAUGCCCCUGCCACCUUCCAAUGCGGCGGUUGAUAAUAAGCAUGAAGGAGAUUUUCGCAUCUCUGGAUAUGUGAGGUGAACAUUAUAGGAUGCCAAAGGUUCGAAUCCAUCAAGCGUCGGCCAUUGCAGAGAAAGAUAGUUGUGGCAUUGUGAAGUUAAAUAACCCGGCCAACGGACACGAGGUGAAUACUGAUGAUGCCAAAAUUUCAACCACAUCGGCUGAUGAACGCGUCACAGCUGAAUCUCAUGAGAGACUAAGUCCUAUGAGAUUACUUCGGAACCCAAAACGAUAUACAUCAUAGAGAACUUUGUGUUUCAUUACCUUUAACACAUUAUAGUUGUUAUUUAGCAUACAUGAUUGUUAAUUGACAUUAUCAGGUCAGCCUAUUUAUGUUCUU